CAGGGGAUCGUAAGACCUUGCGCUUUUAGAGCGGCCGAUGCCUGAUUAGCUAGUUGGUAGGGUAAAAGCCUACCAAGGCAACGAUCAGUAGUUGGUCUGAGAGGACGACCAGCCACACUGGGACUGAGACACGGCCCAGACUCCUACGGGAGGCAGCAGUGGGGAAUUUUGGACAAUGGGCGCAAGCCUGAUCCAGCAAUGCCGCGUGAGUGAAGAAGGCCUUCGGGUUGUAAAGCUCUUUCAGUCGAGAAGAAAAGAUUGUGACUAAUAAUCACAAUUCAUGACGGUACCUAAAGAAGAAGCACCGGCUAACUACGUGCCAGCAGCCGCGGUAAUACGUAGGGUGCAAGCGUUAAUCGGAAUUACUGGGCGUAAAGGGUGCGCAGGCGGCUCUGUAAGUCAGAUGUGAAAUCCCCGGGCUUAACCUGGGAACUGCGUUUGAAACUACAGGGCUAGAGUGUAGCAGAGGGAGGUGGAAUUCCAUGUGUAGCAGUGAAAUGCGUAGAGAUAUGGAAGAACAUCGAUGGCGAAGGCGGCCUCCUGGGUUAACACUGACGCUCAUGCACGAAAGCGUGGGGAGCAAACAGGAUUGGAUACCCUGGUAGUCCACGCCCUAAACGAUGUCAACUAGUUGUCGGGUCUAAAUAGACUUGGUAACGUAGCUAACGCGUGAAGUUGACCGCCUGGGGAGUACGGUCGCAAGAUUAAAACUCAAAGGAAUUGACGGGGACCCGCACAAGCGGUGGAUUAUGUGGAUUAAUUCGAUGCAACGCGAAAAACCUUACCUACCCUUGACAUGU
RNAcentral lists this ribosomal RNA (800 nucleotides) under uncultured bacterium. RNAcentral describes it as "bacterial SSU rRNA". It matches the Rfam family "Bacterial small subunit ribosomal RNA", at positions 197 to 989 of the family's 1533-position model. The record is from RNAcentral.